This 107-nucleotide small RNA is filed under the name Marmota monax (woodchuck). Lineage: Eukaryota; Metazoa; Chordata; Mammalia; Rodentia; Sciuridae. The record is from RNAcentral.
GCUGGGUGUGGUGGUGCACGCCUGUGAUUCCAACUACUCAGGAGGCUGGGGCAGCAGGAUCGAAAGUUUGAGGCCAGUCUCAACAACUUAGUGAGACCCUGUCCCAA